ACUAGCUGAGAGGAGGUGCAUGGCCGUCGUCAGUCGUACUGUGAAGCAUCCUGUUAAGUCAGGCAACGAGCGAGACCCACGCCAACAGUUGCCAGCAUGUCCUCCGGGAUGAUGGGGACGACUGUUGGGACCGCCUCUGCUAAAGAGGAGGGAAAGGGAAUGGGCAACGGUAGGUCAGCAUGCCCCGAAUUAUCCGGGCUACACGCGGGCUACAAUGGUCAGGACAAUGGGUAUCGACACCGAGAGGUGGAGGCAAUCUCCUAAACCUGUCCUUAGUUCGGAUUGUGGGCUGCAACUCGCCCACAUGAAGCUGGAAUCCGUAGUAAUCGCGUUUCAAAAUAGCGCGGUGAAUAUGUCCCUGCUCCUU
Molecule: ribosomal RNA, 367 nt
Filed under: uncultured Methanolinea sp.
Lineage: Archaea; Methanobacteriati; Methanobacteriota; Methanomicrobia; Methanomicrobiales; Methanoregulaceae
Description: bacterial SSU rRNA
Rfam family: Archaeal small subunit ribosomal RNA
Source: RNAcentral